This 255-nucleotide ribosomal RNA is filed under the name uncultured bacterium. RNAcentral's name for it is "partial 16S ribosomal RNA". It matches the Rfam family "Bacterial small subunit ribosomal RNA", at positions 524 to 777 of the family's 1533-position model. The record is from RNAcentral.
UACGUAGGGGGCGAGCGUUGUCCGGAUUCAUUGGGCGUAAAGAGCUCGUAGGCGGCUUGGCAAGUCGGAUGUGAAAACUCCAGGCUCAACCUGGAGCCGCCAUUCGAUACUGCUAUGGCUAGAGUCCGGUAGGGGAGUGUGGAAUUCCCGGUGUAGCGGUGAAAUGCGCAGAUAUCGGGAGGAACACCGAUGGCGAAGGCAGCACUCUGGGCCGGUACUGACGCUGAGGAGCGAAAGCGUGGGGAGCGAACAGGA